RNAcentral lists this long non-coding RNA (3560 nucleotides) under Ananas comosus (pineapple). RNAcentral's name for it is "long non-coding RNA (ACOM_LNC037706)". The record is from RNAcentral. Lineage: Eukaryota; Viridiplantae; Streptophyta; Magnoliopsida; Poales; Bromeliaceae.
CUGGACUGAUUGUCCAUGAUCCUGUGGCUUUCGUGGAAAUCGAAAGGUCGAUUUCGGUGCGUUUUUCGACGAAAUUCGUCGAAAGAACGCGAUUUCGGUUCGGAUUCCUUCCGACAGUGCUUCGUGAUGAAUUGUGUAGUCGCUGAGCCUUGUUGGCUGGUCACUCGCAUCAUUUUGAAGGUUCGGAAAAUGACGGGUGAGCGACGGUAGGUUCCGGUGUCGAAUUAGACACUUCCGGGAACCCGGAUCGAAACGAUUAUCCGACGAUAAUUGUUUCGACACGAGGAGUUAUGUUCGCUGCCAUGAUGCACGAUUAUUUAUGUUUAGUAGCAGCAGGUGACUCGUAGCUCGAGUCGGUAUGUUCCGGGACAGUUCGUGGCUCCCGGCGGAGUCCCCGUGCGAUUAUGGGACUUCCGGCGUAUUACGGCGAUCGGUUUGGGAAACCGAUCUCCAUGGGUUUGCUUGUAGGUUGUGGAUCUAGUGAUUAUUAGCUGUGGGUUAGACACUAACCCGGUGGACCUUCCUUAGGUCCGGUUGACGUCCUUUUGCAGUCAGGAGACAGGCGCAGCAUUGGUACAGGUGGGUACUUCGAUCCGACGUCGGUACAGUGGUGCACGCUCGGUGAUGGUUUCCUACCUCUGUUCUCUCGUUAUUAUCUGGCAUUUAUAUAUAUAUCUUGAUAUAUAGUAUUGAGCUUGCAUCCCCGUUGUUUUUAUUAUACUCUACUCAUAUGUUUCCUUGCUUAGUAUCAUGUGUAGGAGUAGAGUAGUUUAUCCAUACGUGAUCCCGGUGACCUGAUUGGUCAGUUCUCGUACUUCGUUUCGGUGACCUAGUUGAUCGGUGCUUUUAUCUUAUAUCUGUUGACCUGGUUGGUCGGUUGUUGCAUUAUGUAGUGGGUUGGUCUAUUUCUUGACUUCUGUCGUUCGAUGACCUUGAGGUCGGUGUACCCUGAGGGGUAGGAUUGUCGGCUGGCGCUGACGGUAGUUCUGGACUAUAUCGAAUACACUCCUGUGACCUAUCGGUCGGUUCUUGCGUUCGUACUUUUAGUUGACAUCGAGCAGUAUCUACAUACCAUCUUUAUUUACUCUGCCUAGUUGUUCUAUGUGUAGUAUCCUGUAUAGGGGUAGAGUAGACGACAUUCGUAUAUACUAUACUUGUGACCUGGUUGGUCGGUUCUCCUAUUUGCAUCGGUGACCUGUUUGGUCGUUCGUUACUUUCCGUACAUUGACCUAUCUCGGUCGGUUCACGUUGUUACUUGAUGACCUACACGGUCGGUAUGCCCAGAGGGGCAGUGAUUGUCGGCUGAUUGCCGACGGUUGGCUAUUGAUCAUAUCCGCAUUGAUCGCCACAGCUCGAGUGCAUUUCACGUACACCAGCGGGUUGAUCCCCCGCAGGAGGGUGUUCUUUUCCGGAAAAGUGGUCGUACAUCCGACCCGUGAGCCCAGCGGUGUUCUCUUGUGCUAGGGUUACAUGCCAGGUGUGAGCAGAUAGUGGCUUUUGCCUGAGGUCCUUAGACCGACACGGCGGUUUAGAUUGGGUACUUUUGGACUUCUCGUCCGGUUGACGCAUAUAGCUAUAGUAGCGGUUGUUGCAUAUAUACUUCUAGUUCUUUCUUUACAGUUGUCUUGCUACUAUAGUUUUGAUAUCCUUGUAUGCUUGCAGUUGUACAUUACAGUAGCGGUAGUUGUGCUUUCAUAUAUAUAUCUCAUUCGUUCAUUAUCGUUGCUACUGUAUUUUACUUACCCAUACUGUUGUUUAUCUCUUCCUGAUCCGGUGAGUACUCCUCGCCUUCUUCGGCUUGCGGUACCCACUGGGAGGGGAGACAUGUUUACAUGUUCUCACCUCCCCCACUAUUUUUCAGGUACUGCAGACGUUGAGUUUUGGGACGAGACGUGAGGUACGUUCGUAGCGGUCGAUAGAGCUUCCGACCCAGGUUAUCGGUUUAGUUUUAUCCCUACUAUUCUGUUGUUAUAGCUUAGUCAGUUUAUAUGGUUCAGUAUUUUUAUUACAUUGGAAUAUAUGGACUUUCAUGAACGUAUUAAAAGGAUUUCUGGAUUUGGUAAAAUAAAAGGUUUUCUACCCCUCGUGGUAGCUUCUAUAAAAGAUAAAAGUUUUCGCGUACGAAACAGUUUUCAAAAGAUUUUUCGUGGACUUCUGUUUAAACAUCGAAUGUAAAACUACGGUGUGAAUGGUGAAUGUAUGAAUGUAUAGCUAUCUGUAUAUUCAUUUGAUUGUGGUUGUAUACUGUUUGUACUUUUGUACUUGUGUGACGCCGUGCAAGUACAGGGGAGACUCUGUCCGUGUGAACAGUGGAUUCCCUGUAUUUGUGGCGGAUCUGGCAUACUCUGGGGUCAGGUUUUCAAAAAAAAUUCAAACGCUUUUCCGCUGUGUUUCAAACAAAAAGGGGACCCCGGGGCGUGACAGAUUAAAAUGGUAUCAGAGCAAAGGUUACAACCACAACACCAUUCACAGGUUGUUUUGAAAAGUAAAUGAAACUGAACCAUUGGUUAGGUUGACCUAUAGGAAGACCUACGGUAUAUAGGCACGUGAGUGCGUGGUUUGGGCUUGUGUCCCGGUGUGCAUUCGAGUUUGUUAAACUCGAAGUGUAUGGUUCCUGUAUGUGUUACGGUUCGCACAAGCUGGUGUCUAAGUCGGGUGUAGUGGCGGUGUACUUUUUCGGACAUUGAGUGGUGGGGCGACGUCCCCCAGGUGUAGCCAUUCCUGUCAGGUGGGACCUUGAAAGGCCAGUGAUCUCUGGGCCUAGGCGAGUGUCAUGACUGCCGACGCCCAGGCCACUCUCUCUACUUAGGACACGAGAGCUAUUGCGAGUGUCUCCACGGAGACGGUGCUUAGACCAGUUACGGUCGCGACUUCAGUGGGGCUACUAGGGUGUAGCCCAGGGUUUGGUAGCAGUCGUUUAGGCGACUGCAUUGUUAGUGUUGCUUCCGCAGACCUUUGGGUAGAGUUGUGAUGCCUACCUAUCCUCCUUGAUUGCUGAUUCGAAUCAGCAGUUCAGAUCUGUUGACCUUGAACUCGUUCAUUCUUCCUACUAGAAUCGGAUUGACACAGUUUUGGUGUCAAGUUUUCGUUAAGGCAUACACCGUAUGCGAUUAUUCUAACACCCAAGUUGGUGUGUUGUGGGUUAAUUUGUGAUAGGUUUCGUCUUGAUUCGAGGGACUCCAGUGUUAGUGUCGGAAUUAUCGGAGCUUUGAUUAUAGCUCGGUUAUGGUGCGGAAAUCGGUUAGGAAAAUCAUUUCCUGAAGCCUCAGUUGGUACUGUUUGCGGCUUAGAGUCGCUAGUAGCUUGUGGAUCUUGAAAGCGAUAAGACUCCCGGUGAGUCGAUUCAGGGUCGUUCUAAUUUCGAAUGUCGACUUGUAAAGUCGAUGUUUCGAUAGUAAUGAUUGUGAGCUUCUGGUUCAGUGAAGAGGUAUCAGGUGGCUUGAUACUUCGACGUGUCACACUUCCAACUCGUUGUUGGUAGUGGAUCUUCGGAUAUUUCGCUUUUCUUUUGAUAAGUAUAUUGGCUGCAGACAAUAUACUGUCGAAAGAGGAACGAAAUA